GGCAGCAGUGGGGAAUAUUGCACAAUGGGCGCAAGCCUGAUGCGGCCAUGCCGCGUGAAUGAAGAAGGCCUUCGGAUUGUAAACUUCUUUCAAUCAGGAAGAAAGGUUUUAGGGUUAUUACCUUUUUGAUUUGACUGACCCCCAUAAGAAACUCCUGCUUACUUCCUGGCCACCACCCCGGUAAUACCGAAGGAGGCAGCGUUUGUCCGAAUUACUGGGCGUAAAGCGCACCCUAGGCGGUUGUUCAAUCCGAUGGUAAAUCCUUCGGGUUUACCUGGGAACUGGCUUUUAAACUGGGAUAAUUUAGUCUCGUAAAAGGAGGGUGAAUUUCCUGUGGUACCGUGAAAAUGUUAAAAAUUCGGGAAAAACACCGUUGGCAAAGGCGGCUUUCGGGGCAGUACUGGACAUUGAGGUGCAAAAGCUGGGGAACCAAACAGGAUUAAAUACCCUGGUAGUCACGCCCGUAAACGAUGGGAACUAGAUGUUGCGCCCUGUCGACCCCUGCUGUGCCGUAAUUAACGCAUUAUCGUGCCCCGCCUGGAGAGUAUGGUCGCAGGGCUGAAACUCAUGAUGAAUUGACAG
This 582-nucleotide ribosomal RNA is filed under the name uncultured bacterium. RNAcentral describes it as "bacterial SSU rRNA". It matches the Rfam family "Bacterial small subunit ribosomal RNA", at positions 347 to 916 of the family's 1533-position model. The record is from RNAcentral.